RNAcentral lists this ribosomal RNA (428 nucleotides) under uncultured bacterium. Its description in RNAcentral is "partial 16S ribosomal RNA". It matches the Rfam family "Bacterial small subunit ribosomal RNA", at positions 354 to 796 of the family's 1533-position model. The record is from RNAcentral.
GUAGGGAAUAUUGCGCAAUGGACGAAAGUCUGACGCAGCGACGCCGCGUGAGUGAUGAAGGCCUUAGGGUCGUAAAGCUCUGUUGAAUGGGAAGAAAAAAAUGACGGUACCAUUCGAGGAAGGACCGGCUAACUUCGUGCCAGCAGCCGCGGUAAUACGAGGGGUCCUAGCGUUGUUCGGAAUCAUUGGGCGUAAAGGGUGUGUAGGUGGCCAUGUAAGUCAGGUGUGAAAGCCCCGGGCUCAACCCGGGAAGUGCACUUGAUACUGCGGGGCUUGAGUACCGAAGAGGGUAGUGGAAUUCCAGGUGUAGUGGUGAAAUACGUAGAUAUCUGGAGGAACACCGGUGGCGAAGGCGGCUACCUGGUCGAGUACUGACACUGAGACACGAAAGCAUGGGGAUCAAACAGGAUUAGAAACCCGGGUAGUCC